This 253-nucleotide ribosomal RNA is filed under the name uncultured bacterium. Its description in RNAcentral is "partial 16S ribosomal RNA". It matches the Rfam family "Bacterial small subunit ribosomal RNA", at positions 524 to 776 of the family's 1533-position model. The record is from RNAcentral.
UACGUAGGGUCCGAGCGUUGCCCGGAAUUACUGGGCGUAAAGAGCUCGUAGGUGGUUUGUCGCGUUGUUCGUGAAAACUCACAGCUUAACUGUGGGCGUGCGGGCGAUACGGGCAGACUAGAGUACUGCAGGGGAGACUGGAAUUCCUGGUGUAGCGGUGGAAUGCGCAGAUAUCAGGAGGAACACCGGUGGCGAAGGCGGGUCUCUGGGCAGUAACUGACGCUGAGGAGCGAAAGCGUGGGGAGCGAACAGG